Long non-coding RNA from Bombina bombina (fire-bellied toad), 360 nucleotides. RefSeq lists it as uncharacterized. NCBI's taxonomy places the organism in Eukaryota, Metazoa, Chordata, Amphibia, Anura, Bombinatoridae. The record is from RefSeq and is a predicted model, not a curated record. The transcript has 3 exons.
CUAGAACUCUUACUUUCACAACAGAAAUUCAGUGUUUUCUCAAUGCAGCAGUGGGACAAGGAUCUGAAAACGACGUCUCCCUGACUUUAGUACCUGACUUGACCUUCAGCUUGUACCUGUUAAAGAGUUAGCCUAUCCCCGGCUAUCUUUCCAGGCAUCUGACUUCCUGGCUCUGACCUUCGGCCUGUUAAGGUUUAUGAGACUGUCUUCACCCUUCCCUACAUCAGCACCUGUGCAUCAUCUGGUCCCGUUUUCUCAGGAGAGUGAACACUUCAUUGUUUCAUUUACUGACAUUUUUGAUGGUCCAUGGAGACAGCUGGUUAAAGCCUAACAGACAUUCUCCAAAGAAUAAAAAUGUAU